CUGUAGUGUGAGGCAGAAUGGCCCGUGGGGCUGGAGUCUGUCUCCUAUUCCUGUAGUGUGAGGCAGAAUGGCCCGUGGGGCUGGAGUCUGUCUCCUGUUUCUGUAGUGUGAGGCAGAAUGGCCCGUGGUGCUGGAGUCUGUCUCCUAUUCCUGUAGUGUGAGGCAGAAUGGCCCGUGGGGCUGGAGUCUGUCUCCUGUUUCUGUAGUGUGAGGCAGAAUGGCCCAUGGGGCUGGAGUCUGUCUCCUGUUUCUGUACCCUGAGUCAUCCUGAUGUGCUGGUAAAUCCAGGUGACAUAUUUCAGUAGGUUUCAUUUGUGUGUGUGGUGUGUAAGGUGUGUGUGGUGUAUGUGGUGUAUGUGGUGUUUAAGGUGUGUAAGGUGUGUGUGGUGUGUAAGGUGUGUGUGGUGUGUGUGGUGUAUGUGAUGUAUGUGGUGUGUGUGGUGUAUGUGGUGUAUGUGGUGUGUGGUGUGUGUGGUGUGUAAGGUGUGUGUGGUGUGUGUGGUGUGUAAGGUGUGUGUGGUGUGUGUGUGGUGUGUAUAAGGUGUAUUAGGUGUGUAAGGUGUGUGUGCUGUGUAAGGUGUGUGUGGUGUGUAAGGUGUGUGUGGUGUGUAAGGUGUGUGUGGUGUGUUUGUGGUGUGUGUGUGUGGUGUGUAUAAGGUGUGUAUGGUGUCUUUCAGCUGUAUUGUGUGUUUGUGGGGGAGAGUUCUUCUUAGGAGCUAACAGUCAUGGAAGUAAUUAAGAGCAUGCAGGUACCUUUAGUAGCAUGGAUAAUUUAGGAGCAGAGGAUAUGAAGGAGCAAUAAUAUGAAGAAGCAAGAGAUAGGAAAGAGCAAUCAUAUGAAGGGGCAAGAGAUAAGAAGCAGCAGAGGAUAUGAAGAAGAAGAGGAUAUGACAGGAGAUAUGAAAGAGUAAUGAUAUGAAGGAGCAGGAGAUAUGAAGGAGCAGAGAAUAUGAAGGAGCCGAGGACGUGAAGGUUGUGGGGAUUUGAAGGAGCAGAGAAUAUGAAGGAGCCGAGGACGUGAAAGUGUGGGGAUUUGAAGGAGCAGAGAAUAUGAAGGAGCCGAGGACCUGAAAGUGUGGGGAUUUGAAGGAGCAGAGAAUAUAAAGAUUAUGAUCUCCGAUCUCUUUUCCACAUCUCAGACCUUCUCUCCACUCUCUCCACUCUCUCCUCUUUCCUCUCCUUUCUC
This is a long non-coding RNA of Esox lucius (northern pike), 1186 nucleotides long. The record is from Ensembl. Lineage: Eukaryota; Metazoa; Chordata; Actinopteri; Esociformes; Esocidae.